AUGAAGGUCCAAAAACCAGCGAGAGGUUCCCCACUCUUCUUUGAUCCGUCUGAGGGCCGAGUGGCAGCCUCGACCCGAGCGGAAGUGCGAUGUGUCUAGAAACUCGGGAUCGUAAAUGGAUUCAGGUACCUGGUGCAACAACAAGUACUAGCUUAA
RNAcentral lists this ribosomal RNA (156 nucleotides) under Triticum aestivum (bread wheat). Its description in RNAcentral is "partial small subunit ribosomal RNA". The record is from RNAcentral. Lineage: Eukaryota; Viridiplantae; Streptophyta; Magnoliopsida; Poales; Poaceae.